RNAcentral lists this ribosomal RNA (443 nucleotides) under uncultured bacterium. RNAcentral's name for it is "partial 16S ribosomal RNA". It matches the Rfam family "Bacterial small subunit ribosomal RNA", at positions 338 to 795 of the family's 1533-position model. The record is from RNAcentral.
CCUACGGGGGGCAGCAGUGGGGAAUAUUGGGCAAUGGGCGCAAGCCUGACCCAGCAACGCCGCGUGAAGGAAGAAGGCUUUCGGGUUGUAAACUUCUUUUCUCAGGGACGAAGCAAGUGACGGUACCUGAGGAAUAAGCCACGGCUAACUACGUGCCAGCAGCCGCGGUAAUACGUAGGUGGCAAGCGUUAUCCGGAUUUACUGGGUGUAAAGGGCGUGUAGGCGGGGACGCAAGUCAGAUGUGAAAACCACGGGCUCAACCUGUGGCUUGCAGUUGAAACUGGGAUUCUUGAGUACUGGAGAGGCAGGCGGAAUUCGUGGUGUAGCGGUGAAAUGCGUAGAUAUUAGGAAGAACACCAGUGGCGAAGGCAGUCUACUGGACAGCAACUGACGCUGAGGCGCGAAAGCGUGGGGAGCAAACAGGAUUAGAUACCCGGGUAGUC